GCCGUAUAUCUUUGCCUCUUUUGAGGGAUCACGCGAGGUUUUCAGAGGAAGAAAGAAGACCGAGAUACCACCACGGGGAUGUAUCGUGCUGCCGGUGAAAAAUAGAAAGGCUCUCGUGUCGUUA
Molecule: long non-coding RNA, 124 nt
Organism: Frieseomelitta varia
Lineage: Eukaryota; Metazoa; Arthropoda; Insecta; Hymenoptera; Apidae
Exons: 3
Source: RefSeq, a predicted model, not a curated record